UACGGGGGGAGCAAGCGUUGUUCGGAUUUACUGGGCGUAAAGGGCGCGUAGGCGGCGUGACAAGUCACUUGUGAAAUCUCCGGGCUUAACUCGGAACGGUCAAGUGAUACUGUCGUGCUAGAGUGCGGAAGGGGCAACUGGAAUUCUUGGUGUAGCGGUGAAAUGCGUAGAUAUCAAGAGGAACACCUGCGGCGAAGGCGGGUUGCUGGGCCGACACUGACGCUGAGGCGCGAAAUCUAGGGGAGCGAACGGG
Molecule: ribosomal RNA, 253 nt
Filed under: uncultured bacterium
Lineage: Bacteria
Description: partial 16S ribosomal RNA
Rfam family: Bacterial small subunit ribosomal RNA
Source: RNAcentral